This 2982-nucleotide long non-coding RNA is filed under the name Homo sapiens (human). RNAcentral's name for it is "HSALNT0158109". Lineage: Eukaryota; Metazoa; Chordata; Mammalia; Primates; Hominidae. The record is from RNAcentral.
AGAAUGAUGACUCAUACAGUUGUUGCAGCAAUUAAGAGAUUAAGAGGGAUGUUUCAUUGUUAUAAUGGAAAGGGGAUAGAGAAUUAAAGAGCUCUGCUUACUGUCAUGAUGGAUUAUAUGCACGCAGCAGAAGAGGAAAGAAGUACCGCUGACAGGAAGACCUAGGGUCUUUUUUAGCCAGAGGUCUCUAUAGACAUGCCAUCAAUAGUAAUGGCAACCGCAGUGUAUCAUCGUGACGAUGUGCUUAAUCAGGGCUCAGGUGUUGAGGAUGUAGACUUGGGAGAGCCCCUUGUUGGUGUGCUUAAGGCAUCCUGGUUUCAGUCAGGUCAGGUCCCCUCACCUAAUACUGGCCUGAGGCCCAAGACCAAGAUACAAGGACUGAGGCUGAAUGGUGGAUAAAGAUUGCGAAUUUGCACAGCUAUAAAGCUUACUAAUUAAAGACUACAAACACAAAGAGAGCAAGCCUUGUGAUGACUGCACAAUAACGAGGAUUCAGAUACAACGUGGUCGCCACCUGACGCCCACCUCCACAAAAAGCCAUUCUCAAAAGGAGAGAGACAUUCAUAUCCAGAAGAGGGAGUCGGCUGUAGGGUAGAGCACUUCAAAUGCAUCAAAGGUCCAGAGAGAAGCUUCUUCUGGUCACCUUGAUCUUGUGAUGCAAGGCAGGUGGGAGCAAGGGCUCCACCUCUGCAGACACAGAGAUGACGGGGUCGCCAUGCCGGCGUUUUAGUCCCGGUUUCCUCUGCUCGAGUAGUUGGUGGCCUCCUGCCUGUUCCCUAACAUAACUUCACUUUCCUUACCUGCAAAACGAAAUUAGUAUUUCCUCCCUCACAAGGUGCUUGAUGCCCUUCCCCUUGCGUUUACUUUGCCUGAGAGACUAUAUCAUAUCUAUGAUUUUGUGAAUGGGGCAAAAGGAAUUGAGAGUGUCAGGGUAUACCUUAUAAAUAAGCCACUAAAGGUUACAUCCUCAUUCCACAAACUGACCUAAACAAUUUGGCUGUCACUAAUAGAUUAUUUUGGUCAGUUAUGGCAUUUAGAGGGAGAAGAGAGAGUAUAUAUAUAUGGGUGGGGUGUGUGUGUAUGCGUGUGUAUGUGUGUGUUUACAGUCAAAAUACCAAAAUAUAUCUAUGUAUAUAAAUAUAUUUGCUUUCUUUGUUUUUGUUACAAUAAACUUGUACAUACAAUUCUGACACACAUAUUUUCAUAUGUAGGCACAAAAAUAGUCAUACAAAAAAUACCACAAAAGGUAAUAACAAAGUGGAAGAAGACAUAGGAACAGAGAACAAACCAACACAUAGAAAAAGUAACAAACAUGGUAGAUACGAAUCCAGCUAUAUCAAUAAUCGCGUUAAACAUCAAUGGUCUUAAAUAUACUAGACAGUGGAAUAUUAUUCAGCAUUGAAAAGAAAUGACCUAUCAAGCCAUGAAAGACAAGGAGGAACCUUAAAUGCAUGUUACUGAGUGAAAGAAGCCAAUCUGAAAAGGCUGCAUCCUGCAGGAUUCUGACUCUAUGACAUUCUGGAAAAGGUAAAACUACUAAGACAGUGAAAAGAUCAGUAGCUGCCAGGGGUUACGGGAAGGGGAUGAUGAAUAAGUGGGGCACAGCAUUUUGAGGAGGUGAAACUACUCUGUAGGAUACUGUAACAGUAAAUCCAUGUCAUUAUAUGUUUGUACACACCCAUAGAACACCAGGAGGACAGCACCAAGAGGGAGCCCUAGUGUGAACUGUGGACUCUGGUUGGUAAUGAUGUGCCUGUGAAGCUUCAUUGUUUGCAGCAAAUGCAUCAGUGUGGUGGGGGAUGUUUCUAAAUUGAUAAUGAAGGACGCCAUAGGUGUAUGGGGGCAGAGAGUUUAUGAGAAAUCUGUACCUUUUGCUCAAUUUUACUGAACAUAAAACUGCUGAAGCCAUCAUUCUCAGCAAACUAACCCAGGAGCAGAAAACCAAACGCCGCAUGUUCUCACUCAUAAGUGGGAGUUGAACAAUGAGAACACAUGGACACAGGGAGGGGAACAUCGUCACACACCGGAGCCUGUCGCAGGGUGGGGAGCUGGGGGAGGGAGAGCAUUAAGACAAAUACCUAAUGCAUGUGGGGCUUAAAACCUAGAUGAUAGGUUGAUAGGUGCAGCAAACCACCAUGGCACAUGUAUACCUAUGUAACAAACCUGCACAUUCUGCACAUGUAUCCCAGAACUUAAAGUAAAAUAUAUUAAAAAAAUUAAAGUCUAUUUUAAAAAAAGAAAAACAAUCAGCUAACCUACUUUGGUAGCUCUGUUCUGCGCUGUCGGGUCUUCCAUCCUAGCGUGUGACACAGGAGGGUUUCGCUGGCAGGACCCGCCCACUGCACAUGCAGGUUCAGGUGACAGAGACCUCUGGAAAGAUGAGGCCCGUGGGAGCAGGGGGCUUCUUGUUGACACUGAAGGUCAGGCUUCAGGAAUGCCAGGGGCUCAUAAAAUCUUUUUCACUGAACAUUAUGCUGAGCAGGAUUCAUUUUACCAGUGAAAAAAUAUUUCUGACAUCCUUUGUGCUUUUUAACAAAGCCUGUGGUGUGGAUUUGCAUGAUUCUUAGAUUGCUGAGUAACCACUUCGGGAGGGUUCUUGAUUAGGGCACUAAAAAUGUUAACACAACACCCGUGGGAUGUAGAUUAAGGUCAACUUGUCCUUGUGCGUCUCUCCUAGUGUUGAUGGCAGAGUCUUAGUAUUUCAGCUGACGAAAUCUCUGCCCAUUCUCUUCCAAUGUUCCCUAAUAAGCUACAGGAGGACAGAGACAAAAGUUUGACUUCAUUAGUAACUUUUGGAAGUUGCCCAAUUUAGGAAAAAGAGUUAAUAAAUCAGGAAUUUUAUAAGAACUUUUUGUUAAAUCUGUAGUUAUUCAAAUCAGCCUCAGCAUGAUAAGACAACACUACAGGUUAUUAUAAAUAGUUGAAAAAGAAAAAUUAAAUUCCAACCAAACAAUUGAUCCUUAACUUUUUUUUUUUUUGAGA